This 381-nucleotide long non-coding RNA is filed under the name Triticum aestivum (bread wheat). RNAcentral's name for it is "long non-coding RNA (TAES_LNC015768)". The record is from RNAcentral. Lineage: Eukaryota; Viridiplantae; Streptophyta; Magnoliopsida; Poales; Poaceae.
AAUAAGUAUUCUGGACAUCAACAAGUGCUUGUGUCUGGUGCCUCUAGAAUCGAGCAGUAGCGACGUCAGUCUAUGGUUAUGUCUAGCUUAAAUGGUCAGGAGACCUAAGUCUUUUGCAAUAGACCUCUGUCUUGUGCCCCCAGACUAUAUUAUAUCUAUAUAUGAAACCAGUAUGUGAUGGGAACUGCUUAUUUUGUAUUCCUGUUUCUACCUUAUUGUAAUUGCUACAAGUGGCUGUAAACCUUUUAACUUUGAAGCCAGUGUUUGGUAUGCCGUGCUUAUUUUCUCCAAUACGCUAGUUCAUCAUUUGCUGCCAUACUGGAAGUCUUUUGGAGUAUCCUGCCAUGGUUGUUAGUGUAAGUGACAUGGCAUAAAUAUAUG